This 484-nucleotide ribosomal RNA is filed under the name uncultured bacterium. RNAcentral describes it as "partial 16S ribosomal RNA". It matches the Rfam family "Bacterial small subunit ribosomal RNA", at positions 30 to 507 of the family's 1533-position model. The record is from RNAcentral.
AUUGAACGCUGGCGGCAGGCCUAACACAUGCAAGUCGAGCGGAUGAAGGGAGCUUGCUCCUGGAUUCAGCGGCGGACGGGUGAGUAAUGCCUAGGAAUCUGCCUGGUAGUGGGGGAUAACGUCCGGAAACGGGCGCUAAUACCGCAUACGUCCUGAGGGAGAAAGUGGGGGAUCUUCGGACCUCACGCUAUCAGAUGAGCCUAGGUCGGAUUAGCUAGUUGGUGGGGUAAAGGCCUACCAAGGCGACGAUCCGUAACUGGUCUGAGAGGAUGAUCAGUCACACUGGAACUGAGACACGGUCCAGACUCCUACGGGAGGCAGCAGUGGGGAAUAUUGGACAAUGGGCGAAAGCCUGGUCCAGCCAUGCCGCGUGUGUGAAGUAGGUCUUCGGAUUGUAAAGCACUUUAAGUUGGGAGGAAGGGCAGUAAGUUAAUACCUUGCUGUUUUGACGUUACCAACAGAAUAAGCACCGGCUAACUUCGUG